AAUGCAUGUCUCAGAGUACAUGGGCUUCCCAGUGGGUCUGUGAAUGGCUCCUUACAUCAGCAGUCAUCUCAGUGGUAGAGUGUUGCACCAUCCAUGGUGGACCCUUGGACAUCCACCGAAACCCAGUGGCUAAUACAUGAUCAAGCAAGCCUGCUGCAGCAUGGUAGCUGCCCAGUGGCUCAUCCAUAGGCUCCUGCCAAGUGGAGGGCUGCAACCAGCUGUCUAGGAAGACUAGCACCUGGUUCAAGGGUAGUGUACUGUGCUGACUCAGGCUGGAUCCCUGGUGGUUCCCUUGCACUAGCAGAGUGGUGGCUUCGGCCACAGCAUUGCUUGACCACACGAGCUUCUGACCUAUCAGCUUGGACUGUGGUGCAGUGGACCACAGUGGCAGUAACGGGUAACGGAGAAUCAGGGUUCGAUUCCGGAGAGGGAGCCUGAGAGAUGGCUACCACUACCAAGGUGGGCAGCAGGCACGUAAAUUGCCCAAUGCCAAGGCACUGGUGAGGCAGCGACGAACUGCAGCAAUCCUGCUAGUCCUCAGUGACCAGUGGGACUUGUAAUGGAUGCAAUCCAAACACAGUGAUGAGUAUCAACUGGAGGGCAAGUCUGGUGCCAGCAGCUGCGGUAAUUCCAGCUCCAAGAGUGUAUACUGACAUUGCUGCUGUUGAAACACUUGUAGUCCAUUGCUGGGUUCAGGUCUGCCAAGUGGCUGGUGGCUGGCUGCAGGGCAACCUGUCAGUUGGCUGCUGGAACUCAACCCUUGGCAGUAGCUCCUGCUCCCGAGUCAUGGUGGUGAGAACAGCCCUUGCUCCAAGCCUCCUUCAGUGGAGGUCGAUGCGAUCCCAUGCCUCACACACGUGCUGACACCAGGGACACUGGCCCUGUGCCAGGCUCCCCUGUCGAUCACCAGGGUCCACCACCUGUGAUACUGUGGAGAACUCAGUGUGCUCCAAGCAGCCUGUUGGCUGAAUGAUCGUCCAUGGAAUGUCAAGGCAUCGACCUGGAGUGGCUAUGGAGUUGUGCUAGCCUUGGUGCCCAACCAGGGCAAUGUGGUCCUUGUGCUCUGGCUGUGAGGCUUCACCUUCGGGUGCUUGCCAAACUGACCAGGGUUGCUUGUACCGACCGUCCCAGAGGGGACUGCUCGAGGUGAAGGGUACUGCAGCGCCAGAGGUGAAAUUCUUAGACCGCUGCCAGACCAACAGCAGCGAAGGCGCUUUGCAAGGGCAUGUCCGUCGAUCAAGAAUGAGAGUGUGGGGAGCGAAGAUGAUCAGACACCGUCGUAGUCCACCACUGUAAACCAUGCCAGCUAGCUGCUGAGGGUGCAAGUACUGAGACACUCCCAACAGCAUGCCCCCUGCAACGAGAAAUCCCAAGCCUGUGGGUUCAGGGGGGAGUACUGUCGCAAGGCUGAAACUUAAAGGAAUUGACGGAAUGGCACCACCAGGCGUGGAGUAUGCGGCUUAAUUUGACUCAACACGGGGCACCUUACCAGGUCAGGACAAGGUCUGGAUGGACAGAUUGAGAGCUCUCUCUUGAUCCCUUGGAUGGUGGUGCAUGGCCGCUCCUGAUUGGUGAGGUGACUUGUCUGGUUGAUUCCGAUAACGAGUGAGACAUCUGCCUCCCACUAGCUCCUGCCUCGCAUUCAGUAAGGUUCAGGCCUGCCUCAACCAGUACUCCUCGGAGUGCUGGGGCAGCAGUGCCACCUGAGAGGCAUGGACCAAGCUUCUCUGAGGUGCUGUGUACACUACCAAGUACAUGCAUGCUAGAGCCAACAGCAGGUCUGUGAUGCUCCCAGAUGUCCUGGGCCGCACGCGCACUACAUUGGUCCAGUGAAUGAGUUGCUUACCCACUUGCUGGGUCCUGGCUGGAAGUGGCUGGGAAACCCCUGGAGCCUGGGCCGUACUGGGGAUAGAUACCUUGCAACUGUCUGCCUUGAACGAGGAAUGCCUAGUAUGCCUGGGUCAUCAGCCCAGACAGAUUGAGUCCCUGCCAUUUGUACACACCGCCCGUCGUUGCUACCGAUGGCAGCAGGAUAGAGCCAUUAGGAGGCCUUAGCCACCCUCGAGUGGGCAAGGCCGAAACUGGGCAAUGUCCUGCUGCUAGAGGAAGCAAAA
Molecule: ribosomal RNA, 2114 nt
Filed under: Phacus acuminatus
Lineage: Eukaryota; Euglenozoa; Euglenophyceae; Euglenales; Phacaceae
Description: SSU rRNA
Rfam family: Eukaryotic small subunit ribosomal RNA
Source: RNAcentral